AAUGUUGAAACACCAGUCCCCAUAUGAUUACCAAAAUUAAGCAGUGCUGAGCCGGGUCAGUACCUAGAUGGGUGACUUCUUGUAAAUACAAAGUGCUGUAAG
This is a non-coding RNA of Acanthosepion pharaonis, 102 nucleotides long. The record is from the annotation of a GenBank genome assembly. NCBI's taxonomy places the organism in Eukaryota, Metazoa, Mollusca, Cephalopoda, Sepiida, Sepiidae.